This 425-nucleotide long non-coding RNA is filed under the name Bos taurus (domestic cattle). RNAcentral's name for it is "long non-coding RNA NONBTAT019382". Lineage: Eukaryota; Metazoa; Chordata; Mammalia; Artiodactyla; Bovidae. The record is from RNAcentral.
UAAAACUGCAUAUUUAAAUUAUUUGACUUACAUGAAACAAUUGUUCAGCUAUCUGGGCAGCUGUCAAUGAAAUACCUGAGAGUAACAACACUACUCCUUUAUCUACCUGGAUUACUUUCCCACAAAAAUUUAUCUUCAUAAACUAUCUCUAUUAAUCAGGUUUCUAAGCUCCACAGCCUAUUUCAGUUAAAAUCAUCUAUUCAACAAUUAAAAAAAAAAAACUGCAGUCAUCAAGGAUGGAAAUGUAUGAUUUGUGUAAAAAAGUCUUUACUAACUUUACACUGUACCACAGAUAAAUGUGAUUUUGAUAACAAUUCCAUACAAUGACAAAUAUGGCACAUAGAUUUUCUUUAAAAUAUCCUGCCUCUGUAGAAAACAUUUUAAUAUAGAGUGUAUUUUUAAAUUAAAGUAUUUGAAAUCAAAAU